This 216-nucleotide ribosomal RNA is filed under the name Campeiostachys nutans. RNAcentral describes it as "Elymus nutans partial small subunit ribosomal RNA". The stretch from base 40 to 216 matches the Rfam family "Eukaryotic small subunit ribosomal RNA", at positions 686 to 864 of the family's 1831-position model. The record is from RNAcentral. Lineage: Eukaryota; Viridiplantae; Streptophyta; Magnoliopsida; Poales; Poaceae.
GGGUUAGUAGGUUGGUCAUGCCUCCGGUAUGUACUGGUCUCGCUGAUUCCUCCUUCUUGGUGAACUGUAAUGCCAUUAAUUUGGUGUUUUGGGGAAUUUGGACUGUUACUUUGAAAAAAUUAGAGUGUUUAAAGCAAGCUAACGCUUGAAUACAUUAGCAUGGAAUAAUGAAAUAGGACGUUCGAUCCUAUCUUGUUGGUUUCUAGGAUUGACGUA